GCAGUCAUUUACGAGCAGCAGCGAAGAUUAGUUGCAUGAGCCAAAUAGUGAUUGACCGAUAUUUGGAAUUGGAAUGAGGCUAUCAUGUUAUCUGUAGGCAAACAGAAUCGGUCUGAAGUUCCUGUUUUUUCCAUUCGUAUGAUGCAACCAAUUAUUUUGGAAAUAAAAUAACUCUUCAGAGGCAGUCUAUUUACCAAGCAGAUGCCAGGGGGGGAUUAAGUUGGCAACAUAUGACUAGCUUUUGUAGCUGAAAAUUUGAUGCAAUAAAUUUGAUGCAAUCUAUGCUUAAUUUGAAGAGUUAUAGGUACAGCUUUGUUAUAUACAUUUAGUUUAAUGCCAAAUAAUAUGCAACAAUGAAUGAUGUCAUUCAACAAUCGGAAUCAGGCCGAUUGUGACUUGGUGGGUCAAUCACUAGAGACAAAGCAACCUGGCAAGUGAAGCUUUUUACUUCGGCUUCGCUACAACAGAAGUACAAUUUCAGAAGCACAUUACGAUGAUGGAUCUACAAAUCCCUUCAACAAGUAGUAGUAUAGCCACGUUAGUUCAAUUAUAUCCAACACCCAAAUAUCAACACAACCGAAAUAAUUUGGUUUCGUAAAUUAAUUCAACAACACAAGGUGCAUCCUUUAUUAAAUGUUGUUUUCACACAAGUAACAAAUAUAAAGAUCCUAAGUCAAC
Non-coding RNA from Paramuricea clavata, 678 nucleotides. The record is from the annotation of a GenBank genome assembly. NCBI's taxonomy places the organism in Eukaryota, Metazoa, Cnidaria, Anthozoa, Malacalcyonacea, Plexauridae.